UACGUAGGGUGCGAGCGUUAAUCGGAAUUACUGGGCGUAAAGCGUGCGCAGGCUGUUCUGUAAGUCAGAUGUGAAAUCCCCGAGCUCAACUUGGGAACUGCGUUUGAAACUACAGGACUAGAAUAUGUCAGAGGGGGGUGGAAUUCCGCGUGUAGCAGUGAAAUGCGUAGAGAUGCGGAGGAACACCGAUGGCGAAGGCAGCCCCCCUGGGCUAACACUGACGCUCAGGCACGAAAGCGUGGGGAGCAAAAGGG
This 254-nucleotide ribosomal RNA is filed under the name uncultured bacterium. RNAcentral describes it as "partial 16S ribosomal RNA". It matches the Rfam family "Bacterial small subunit ribosomal RNA", at positions 524 to 776 of the family's 1533-position model. The record is from RNAcentral.